This 494-nucleotide ribosomal RNA is filed under the name uncultured bacterium. RNAcentral describes it as "partial 16S ribosomal RNA". It matches the Rfam family "Bacterial small subunit ribosomal RNA", at positions 28 to 507 of the family's 1533-position model. The record is from RNAcentral.
GACGAACGCUGGCGGCGUGCUUAACACAUGCAAGUCGAACGGUGAAGCGCCUUCCUUUUUGGUGGGUGUGGAUGAGUGGCGAACGGGUGAGUAACACGUGAGUAACCUGCCCCCUUCUUCUGGAUAACCGCAUGAAAGUGUGGCUAAUACGGGAUAUUCUGGGUCUGUCGCAUGAUGGGUCUGGGAAAGAUAUUGUUUCGGUGGGGGAUGGGCUCGCGGCCUAUCAGCUUGUUGGUGGGGUGAUGGCCUACCAAGGCGGUGACGGGUAGCCGGCCUGAGAGGGUGGACGGUCACACUGGGGCUGAGCCACGGCCCAGACUCCUACGGGAGGCAGCAGUGGAGUAUAUUGCACAAUGGGCGCAAGCCUGAUGCAGCGACGCCGCGUGAGGGAUGGAGGCCUUCGGGUUGUGAACCUCUUUCGCCAGUGAAGCAGGCCUGCCUCGUUUGUGGGUGGGUUGACGGUAGCUGGAUAAGAAGCGCCGGCUAACUACGUG